This 1228-nucleotide long non-coding RNA is filed under the name Homo sapiens (human). RNAcentral describes it as "HSALNT0207691". The record is from RNAcentral. Lineage: Eukaryota; Metazoa; Chordata; Mammalia; Primates; Hominidae.
AUGAAUCCCCAUCCCAGGAGGAAGGCGUGGCGGGGACGGAAGAAACAACCACACGAUCUGUGACAGUGACCAAGCUUUAGAGGCCCCGUGUGCCUGCCAGGCGCCUGAGCCCACACCGUCCACGCUUCCCUGCCCCGGCGGGAACCAGCUGUUCUCCUUGCACCGGCGAGGGCGCGGGGUCACCCCCGCCGGGCCGACCCCAGGCAUGAGCUCCAGAACCCCCUCCCAAUCGCCCCGUCUUGGGAGCGCAGGGAGUCUGGCUCUUCCCUGCCAAUAACGAAAUCAUCACGGACAUUAGGAAAGCGGGGCGAGGCUGGGAAGGGAGCGGCUUUAAUCCGGGGUCCGCCCCCUUCAAUUCUCCAGCUUAGCGGUCCCGAAAGUGGGGUGGGGACGGGGAUUGAGGCUGAGCUCGCUUCUUCCUUGUUUUCCGGGUCUCGCGCCUCUGAAGCGAACUAGGCCUGGAGGAGUGCUGGGGGUCGAGGAAACAGGGUUGGGGUGACCGAGGGACAGGUGGGGCGGGCACCUGGGCCCCGGUCGAGGCGGAUUCCGAGGCGGAGCCGCUGCCUGCCUGCGCCUCGCCUGCUCGGUCCACCCAACAGCUCCGCCCUAGACUCGCAGCUGCGGAAGCGGUGGGCCGGGUGGUGAUUACAACCCUGAGCGCUGUCCCUUUGGAACCUGACUCCUGACUCCGCUCAGCAACCGGGACGUUGCGACCUCAAAGCCCUCUGUGCUUCUCCAUCGAUACCGGGCCGCCUCUCUCGCCUGCAGCGCACGCCUCCGCCCCCAGGGGCAGCGCAGCGAGGCGGAGACCCUCCUGCAUUCCGAGCGUGCGGGGCAGCCCUCAGACUGAGGACCUGCGACUUCGUGGGACGCCGGUGUCCGCCACUGCGCCCCUCCAGGGAGCAGAGGCGGCUCUGGAAGUCGGUUUAGGGCGGAGACCGCGACUGGAGGGGCGCAGAACGCUCUUCCCAGCGUCCCGGGCUCCACCGGCACAAUUUUAAAACCAGGGGCGAAAUCCGAGUCCUGCCGCCACGCGGGGGUGGAGCGUGACCGCCUCGCCGCGCGCUGUCUCAGGCUCCGCCGGCUUUAGCGCCGCGAGGCUGCCAGGUAAAAUACCUCUUUUCUGACAAGACUAGGACUCUUACAUAGACUACCAUGAACUAAAAGAAGCACAACAUUGCCAGAGUAACCUGUGGUACGUGUAUUAAUCACUUACUGAACAUUUUAC